UCCUCGGUAGUAUAGUGGUCAGUAUCCCCGCCUGUCACGCGGGAGACCGGGGGGUUCAAUUCCCCGCCGGGGAG
This 74-nucleotide transfer RNA is filed under the name Daphnia magna. RNAcentral describes it as "tRNA-Asp". It matches the Rfam family "tRNA". From Rfam's summary of the family: Transfer RNA (tRNA) molecules are approximately 80 nucleotides in length. The record is from RNAcentral. Lineage: Eukaryota; Metazoa; Arthropoda; Branchiopoda; Diplostraca; Daphniidae.